ACGCGAACAAGCGACACGAAGUUCAACGAAAACUGCGCACUGAAACUAAAAUGCUUCAAAUUAACACAUCCGACGCUCACAGACCCUAAAUGAGGUGAGCACUGUGAUCAGCACUGACCAAAGAUCACCGUGCUCACCUCCGGAGGCAUCAGGACAGCCUCGGAUCGCCGGAACAACGCACGCAAACCAGAAACAGUAGCCAAAAAGGCACAAACGGAGCGACAUCGCCGAAAUAGCAGAUCGGGGCCUUCCCGACAGGAACCAAGGUGAGCACGGUGAUCAGCGAUGAGUCGCGAUCAUCGUGCUCCCUUCCGCAGAGGUCGGGAAGCCCUGAAAAGCACAGAACAUCAAACCCACUCAACUAAGCCCUAUUUCGGGCUUGGCUGGAGCAAGCUUGCUCCGGCCGGCUUCCGGC
RNAcentral lists this long non-coding RNA (415 nucleotides) under Ananas comosus (pineapple). RNAcentral's name for it is "long non-coding RNA (ACOM_LNC040830)". Lineage: Eukaryota; Viridiplantae; Streptophyta; Magnoliopsida; Poales; Bromeliaceae. The record is from RNAcentral.